GGGUAUAGUUCAAGGGUAGAGCAACGGUCUCCAAAACCGUAAAUGAGGGUUCGAAUCCUUCUACCC
RNAcentral lists this transfer RNA (66 nucleotides) under bovine gut metagenome. It matches the Rfam family "tRNA". From Rfam's summary of the family: Transfer RNA (tRNA) molecules are approximately 80 nucleotides in length. Their secondary structure includes four short double-helical elements and three loops (D, anti-codon, and T loops). Further hydrogen bonds mediate the characteristic L-shaped molecular structure. tRNAs have two regions of fundamental functional importance: the anti-codon, which is responsible for specific mRNA codon recognition, and the 3' end, to which the tRNAs corresponding amino acid is attached (by aminoacyl-tRNA synthetases). tRNAs cope with the degeneracy of the genetic code in two manners: having more than one tRNA (with a specific anti-codon) for a particular amino acid; and 'wobble' base-pairing, i.e. permitting non-standard base-pairing at the 3rd anti-codon position. The record is from RNAcentral.